RNAcentral lists this transfer RNA (73 nucleotides) under bacterium. Its description in RNAcentral is "tRNA-Thr". It matches the Rfam family "tRNA". Rfam says of the family: Transfer RNA (tRNA) molecules are approximately 80 nucleotides in length. Their secondary structure includes four short double-helical elements and three loops (D, anti-codon, and T loops). The record is from RNAcentral.
GCCGACGUAGCUCAGUUGGUAGAGCAUCUCCAUGGUAAGGAGAAGGUCUCGGGUUCGAGCCCCGACGUCGGCU